This is a long non-coding RNA of Clupea harengus (Atlantic herring), 830 nucleotides long. RefSeq lists it as uncharacterized. The record is from RefSeq and is a predicted model, not a curated record. The transcript is spliced from 4 exons. Lineage: Eukaryota; Metazoa; Chordata; Actinopteri; Clupeiformes; Clupeidae.
GACGAGGACAAGGCUUUAGUCCAUACUAACGCAUUUUACUUCGUACUAACCGAGGAGUAUGAGUACAUAUGCUAUAACAGGACACUGUCGAUGUACGCUAGUGGAGGAUGCAAGCAUCGAGAACAACAGAUGCACAUUGUAGCUUAGUUAUGGUAGAGACCAAUAAAAGAUCGCACUGUCCAAGCCAAUAGAAUAUGCUGACCUCAGGAAUACGCGACACAAUACUCGGGAAUAGGUCAGGAUGAUGCCAUAUAAAAGUAUGGUGUGGCUCUGGUUUCUCGACAGAUAUAGGAGGUUUAAAGCACCAUCGCUCAUCUCGUGCUGACAUAUUCCAACUCGUCGCAUCGGUCUAUGAACAUCGGCAACGACCAAAAAAGGACGCCUCUCUACUCGCUUGCCAUCUAGCCAGCAGCACGCCGACCUCCGACACACAUUCUGUGGAUCACUGCGCUAUCACGGCCGCAGCCCUUGCAGGAUACUCGUGCCACGGCCUGAGAAAGAGCUUGGACAACCCGGAUUUCGCUCUCGUGUGGAGAAGUGACAGAACGCCUGCGCCGAAGCGCUGGACUGGCGGAUUGGUGUGUCGUCUUCCUCGGUGUGGGACUGACUUCCGUGUCGCAUGGAUAAGAGGUAUGAGGAGUUGGUGCAGUACCCAGUCUCCGAGGGCAUGCAAGUGGGAGGGUAUGAAGAGGCGAUGAGGUCAAUGCCACCCCACCACUAUAGCCACACCAUCCCUGACUCCCUCAAACACCACCGUGACCAGAUCUAUGGGUGAGGACCCUCCACUCAUUUUACACCGAUGUACAUUGACAGUAACAUCGAGUGAGUUA